Molecule: long non-coding RNA, 1714 nt
Organism: Betta splendens (Siamese fighting fish)
Lineage: Eukaryota; Metazoa; Chordata; Actinopteri; Anabantiformes; Osphronemidae
Exons: 2
Source: RefSeq, a predicted model, not a curated record
CUGUUUCGAGUUCCUGUAAUUGUAAAAUGUGGCUCCAGAGGAAUCGCAGACUCAGUCAGCAGCCAUGAACCUCAGCACUCGUCACUGACGUGCAUGAAUUCAGGCUGUGAUAACUGUGAUGACUGCAUCUCACCUACUGGUUUUCACUCGGUCAGUUCAUUUCAUGUUGCUUCACUCAUGCCAGCUCAUGGAUGAAGGGGUCCUCAGUUUGCUCGUUGUCGUGGACAUGGACUUCCAUCGCAAGGUGAAGCUAUUUGGUUCUGCAGAGCUCACGCACUUUGCUGCUCCAGUUCUUCUUCAGGGUCUGUCUGUGCUCAAAGGCUCAUCCUGGCACAACGUAAACCUGGUUUAAUCCACGGAACACGGAGGUCCCACUUUGUGCUUCAGGUCCAGAAUUUGAAUCAGCAGAAGAGGAGUGCUGGCAGUGAGAUGUACUGGAGCUGCAAAGAGGAGAGCAGGCAUCCGCUUUCAUAUGCUCUCCUCGGGUACAUUUGUCAUUAUCCCCCAGCAGAGUAGCUCUUAUGAAAACUGUUAUGACAAAUGGUUUGAGAUGUUCCCAGAACACUUCAGCUGUUGUAUUAGGGAAACCUGCAAAGAGAACAGAGUGAGGCAGCGAGUCCCAAAAUGAAGGAAGAAUCCUGCUGAGUAUUAAACACGAGGAGCAGUUGAGUCUAAUCAAAAUGGAACAUUCAAAGGAUCCGGAUCAAUAUUUGAAUGAGGUCCCUGGACCCAAUGAGUGAAUCUGUUCUUUAACUUAACAGAUUUGACUCCAGCGCCCCCCCCUCCACCUCACACGUCUCCAGUCCAGCAGCGGCCCCCACCCCCACGUGUUCACCUGGAGGCUGCUGGAACCACAGAGGGUGGUUGACUUGUCCUGCGCCUUCAACACUAUGAGGCCAGUGCUCCUGAGAGAGAAGCUAGAGGAGGCAGGAGUGGACAAAGCUAACUGCAUGGACGACGACUACCUCACCAACCGACCUCAGUACAUGUGGCUGCGCAACUGUGUGUCUGAGGUGGUGGUUUCCAGCGCUGGGGCCCCUCAGGGGACGGUGCUCUCACUGUUCCUCUCCACCCUCUACACCUCAGACUUCACAUACAACACCAGCUCAGACACACAGCCAUCGUUGGCUGUGUGUCUGAGGGAACGAGCCGGAGAGCAGGUCAGUCAUCAUGGACUUUGUGGACUGGUGUGAGCGCAACCACUUGUGUUUAAACACCAGUAAGACCAAGGAGAUGCUGAUUGACUUCUGUCCUGUGAUGUCCACUGGACUCUGUGGAGGAGGUGCUAAGAGGAGGAUGUUUGAUAGACUGACAUCCAUCAUGGCCAGUUCCUCUCACCCACUGCACCAGACUGUGGGAGCUCUGAACAGCUCCUUCAGUGGCAGACUGAUCCACUCACUGUGUAGGAAGGAGCGGGUCCUUCAUCCACCGCUGUUAGACUGGACAAUGUGGAGGUCUGACAGGCUCAGAUUUUCACUCUUAUUUUCAAAUCUGUUACAUGUUCUUGUACAUGCCACGUGUUUCCUCUACUUCUGCAUACAUUUGAGUAUGGUACUACAUGCCUGAGCUGUAAAUAUGUAAAUAUGUAAUAUGUUGCUUGUAAUCCUGCACAAUUUUGAAAAUUUUUCUUUAUUCUGCAUUUUGCUGUCUUUCCGUUGCUGCUCCAGCAAAUGACUUUCUCUAAUGUAGGGUGACUAAAGUCUGUGUGUCCGUC